Junco hyemalis (dark-eyed junco) is the source of this 641-nucleotide long non-coding RNA. The record is from Ensembl. Lineage: Eukaryota; Metazoa; Chordata; Aves; Passeriformes; Passerellidae.
CUUGAAGAUUGUAAAGAUACUGUCAUCACUCAGAGCUGUGCAGGAAGGAAAGUUAGUGCAUGCAUUUGUCAGAGCUCAGCUGAGGUUGAAUGAAGUGAGACAGAGCAUGCCUGUAUUUUGCUGUAUGCAGCCUCCAAGUCCUGAUGUAGCCUUUAAAUACAAGCCUUGCUUUAACUUUUUGUCUAGAGUUCCUGCCUGUGCAGGAAGGGAUUGGCUGCAGCCAGCCAAUGUGCCCAGGCAAUGCUCUGGUCAUGAAAAGAGCUGAUAAUUCAUUGAAUCCAUGUCUGCUGGGAUGCCCAGGACUGGAUUUCUGCCUUGCAUCCAGCUCAGACCCUCUAACUCUGCAAGUGUUCCCAGGCUUUGGAAGAAUGAAUGACUGCUGGAGUGAGUUACAGCCCAUAUGGUUUUCAUCAGUUGUCUGCAGAGACAAAGAGCAAAUCUUCCAUGCCAACAUGGAAAAAUUUAUUAGCAAGUAUGAGCUGGGGCAAAAAAAUGAAGCCAAGAAUGUUACUAAGAAGCGUUGGAAGCAACUGAAGAGGAGGAUAAGAAAAGUAAAUAUUGAAUUCUUACACAAGGUCUUGAAGGUUGAAAAUGGUCUGAGAUUGAUGCCAGCAAUCAUCAACAGCAAGUUAAACCACUAG